GUGGGGAAUAUUGGACAAUGGGCGAAAGCCUGAUCCAGCCAUGCCGCGUGUGUGAAGAAGGCCUUCGGGUUGUAAAGCACUUUUGGCAGGAAAGAAAUAGUGCGUGCUAAUACCAUGCGCGAAUGACGGUACCUGCAGAAUAAGCACCGGCUAACUACGUGCCAGCAGCCGCGGUAAGACGUAGGGUGCAAGCGUUAAUCGGAAUUACUGGGCGUAAAGCGUGCGCAGGCGGUUUUGUAAGACAGGUGUGAAAUCCCCGGGCUCAACCUGGGAACUGCACUUGUGACUGCAAGGCUAGAGUGUGUCAGAGGGAGGUGGAAUUCCGCGUGUAGCAGUGAAAUGCGUAGAGAUGCGGAGGAACACCGAUGGCGAAGGCAGCCUCCUGGGAUAACACUGACGCUCAGGCACGAAAGCGUGGGGAGCAAACAGGAUUAGAUACCCGGGUAGUCC
This 450-nucleotide ribosomal RNA is filed under the name uncultured bacterium. RNAcentral describes it as "partial 16S ribosomal RNA". It matches the Rfam family "Bacterial small subunit ribosomal RNA", at positions 354 to 796 of the family's 1533-position model. The record is from RNAcentral.